This 510-nucleotide ribosomal RNA is filed under the name uncultured bacterium. RNAcentral's name for it is "partial 16S ribosomal RNA". It matches the Rfam family "Bacterial small subunit ribosomal RNA", at positions 28 to 507 of the family's 1533-position model. The record is from RNAcentral.
GACGAACGCUGGCGGCGUGCUUAACACAUGCAAGUCGAACGAAGAGCGAUGGAAGCUUGCUUCUAUCAAUCUUAGUGGCGAACGGGUGAGUAACGCGUAAUCAACCUGCCCUUCAGAGGGGGACAACAGUUGGAAACGACUGCUAAUACCGCAUACGAUCUAAUCUCGGCAUCGAGGAUAGAUGAAAGGUGGCCUCUACAUGUAAGCUAUCACUGAAGUCGGGGAUUGCGUCUGAUUAGCUAGUUGGAGGGGGAACGGCCCACCAAGGCGAUGAUCAGUAGCCGGUCUGAGAGGAUGAACGGCCACAGUGGGACUGAGACACGGCCCAGACUCCUACGGGAGGCAGCAGUGGGGAAUCUUCCGCAAUGGACGAAAGUCUGACGGAGCAACGCCGCGUGAGUGAUGACGGCCUUCGGGUUGUAAAGCUCUGUUAAUCGGGACGAAAGGCCUUCUUGCGAAUAGUGAGAAGGAUUGACGGUACCGGAAGAGAAAGCCACGGCUAACUACGUG